GGUGUUUAACUCAGCUGAGGAAAGACAAGACAAAUGGAAGAUAUCAUAACGGUUACUGAGCUUGUUUCAUAUUGCAGACUGACCGUCUCCAAAGCCUCACCAAUGAGGAUGAAGCAGGCAGCGAUGAGGUACGUGAGCAGUGAAGUCCCAGCCGUAUCCACAAGCCAAGCCGACGCAGUCCUCAGGAGGUGUGGACAAAGACAGAGUGUCGUUCAAUACACCAGACGCAUCCCUCACAACGCAAGAUCCUGCGAGGAAACAGGCACACACUCAACUUGAAUCAAACUGCCGUACCUUCAGAUCUCCUGAGAUGUUUGCUCCUGCCAGGAUCCCAGUGGCAGAGGGGAAGAAG
This is a long non-coding RNA of Mugil cephalus (flathead mullet), 352 nucleotides long. RefSeq lists it as uncharacterized. The record is from RefSeq and is a predicted model, not a curated record. Lineage: Eukaryota; Metazoa; Chordata; Actinopteri; Mugiliformes; Mugilidae. The transcript has 3 exons.